Molecule: long non-coding RNA, 2839 nt
Organism: Aethalodelphis obliquidens (Pacific white-sided dolphin)
Lineage: Eukaryota; Metazoa; Chordata; Mammalia; Artiodactyla; Delphinidae
Exons: 3
Source: RefSeq, a predicted model, not a curated record
GGUGGGCAGAGCUCAGUAAAACUUUAUCUACUUGUCUGCUGAUGGGUGGGGCUGGGUUACCUCCCUGUUGGUUGUUUGGCCUGAGGCGACCCAACACUGGACCCAACCGGCUCUUUGGUGGAACCAAUGCGGACUCUAGGAGGGCUCACGCCAAGGAGUACUUCCCAGAACUUCUGCUGCCAGCCAGUGUCCUUGUACCCACGGUGAGCUGCAGCCACCCCCUACCUCUGCAGGAGACCCUCCAGCACUAGCAGAAUCAUAAUACCAUGUCACACCUGAAAAAAACUAGCUGCUGGAGAAGAGCAGUAGAACGAACACAGACGGGGAGCCUUAGAAAUGGUGGCAGAUGCAAAACGCUAGAGGUGGAGAGAAAGCACAACAGCUUUAACUCCUCCAGAAAUGCUGUGGCUGCCUUUUCUUGGAGCUGUGGAAGGUAUGUCAGCAUUGCUGGUUCAGGGCUAUGAGGGGAGGGUGAGAAAUCAGGUCUUUUUUUCUUCCCCCUCUUUCCUGCUGCAACCUGCAGUUUGCAGCAAGCCUUCCCAAAGCUUAAUUGCCAGAGCAGUGCCAAGUGCACAGAAGCUCUACUUACAGUUCCCCCACUGAGAGAUUUUAGUUUGGAGUUUUGCUUUAAGCUCUCUGCUAAUCCAACCAGUCACGUAUUUUGGAGAGAAACUACCAGUCUUCUUUUGAGAGCACAAUGAUUGCUCAGUUUUUCAUGGUUUUCUUCCUCAAAGUAGAUGCCAACCUCAACGUUACAGAAGAAAGCCUUUCUGAACAUUAUAGCAAAACUAGUUGGGUUUCCAUAGGGUUAUUAAUAGCUUUGAAUCUAUUGUGGGCUAUGAACAGUAGUUCACAGUCAAGAACAGUAGCCACCGAAGAGAACUGUAGCUGAUGGUAUAUGUGGUUCAGGUGGAUGGGCAGGCAGUUACUGCUACAGCUUGCCUAAUUUACAGAUAUUAACACUUACAUAAAAAUUCAUUUAAAAACUAGUGCCUCGUUGGUGAAACCCAGUGAGGUUAUACAUAGUAUCAUUACAACGUAAUUAACUGGGAACAAAAAAGCAUUAGAAAGUGCUGUGGGAGUAGAAGCCCCACGCUUGCCCAUUGUGCCUUUGAGCCAAAUGUAACACCAGCCUGAGAAAAGAAUAGUCAUCAUGAAAAUAUUUUCUUUCCUUCCAAGUCAGGAAACAGACUCACAAUGGAGUCUACUUCUCCAUUCUGAAUUUUGAGAUGUGCAGGAAACAACCAGCCAUUACCAGCUGAGGUUUUCCUGCUGAUAAAUGAACCCUGAGGCCACAGUGACCUGUCUUGUUAAUGAGUUAAUGAAGAAUCUGGUCCUUGCAUUGACCCUCUCCUUAAAAGCUUUCUUUGGAGCUGAAAUAACAUUCCUCUAAUUUAUGAGUUAACUCUUUCUUACUUAGCAAAUGAGAAAGAGAAGGGGAGGAAAGAACCACGUGGCAGAGAAGUGGAGAAUCCACCAGGGGGCUUUGAUUUCUGAAAUUUUAAAAUUUGAACAUUAACUUCACUUGCAGAUAGAAAUAUCAUUUAAAGAAAUAUUUUCCUCUUAUUGAAGAACCUUAAUAGAAGUGGUCUUGUAUUUUUUAUGUUGCAUUUUACCCCAAGGCAAUGACAUUUUAUUGAAUGAUUUCCCACCCAUUACUCUGACAAGAAACUGCUUUGAAUUGAGCAAUGGAAGUAUUUGAUUUUUGUGUAAACAUUUCAGUAUAGGGAAAAGCAAAGGAAUGUUUACUUCUGUAAGUAAAUGUUAUGAACCCAGCAUUUAUUAACGGAGGCAGAUCCUGUCUUCAACUUAUUGGAGAAAGAAUAGUCUCCUUUAAAUUAGGUUAUCUUUAAGAGCCAGACAUUAUUUCUUCCUCCAAAUUAUUUUUUCUUUUAGUGAUUGAUUGUGAUGUUCUAUGAUUUGAAGGUUGUUGUAGAUACCUCUGUUACAGGGUCAUUUCUCAGCUUUGCAAUUCUAGAAAUGUGAUUUUACUAGUUGAUUAGAUUCUGAUGAACUGAUUCAUGACUCAUUAGGCUAGUGUUACAUUUGGUUUAGAAAACCAAAGUGCUUGUUGAUUAACUUACAGUUAUUAUUUCAUUAACCAGAAGAGUUUGUCCUAUUGAGGCAUCCCCAAACCAGUACCUGGAAAAUCAUAGAAAGUGAUAGGAGGCUUUGUAAGGAGGUAAGCAAAGAAAAGAAAUCAAUCGUCUUCUCCGUAUGCCACUUAGAGACUUCUAAGGAAUCUCUCUUCUACUGUAAGGCAUUUAUCUGUCAGGUACUUGGUAUUGGUGGUUCGUAUUUAAACACUCUCUACCUGGUCAGUGCUAAAUGGCCACUGCUAAGACGGCUCAGGAUGGUAAAUUGAACACAUGCUGCCACACAUUUGCCCCAAAUUCCUAAAUAUAUCAGAAAGAUACAUGUUUUUAACAAUGUUGGAAAAAAAGAAUGUUCUGGAUAAUCUGGAAGUUUGAGGAAUUCCUGAAGGACAGAAGGCAGAUGGAAUCAUAUUAAAGGUAGAAACCGGAAUCCAGAAGUCCUGAAUGUCCCACCCCUCCCAUGUAAUUACUGGACACGGCUGUGGUGAAUGGUUGCAGCAUUUACACACUGGGGAGCUAGAACAUCACUUGAACUAGCACAAAUCAAGCCACAAAAAAACCAGAGUCAUGAGAGAAGCUCCAGACUCAAGAAAUUGAAAAGCUAACAUUGGAGGCUCCAAAUACUGUAAAUAGAAUGUAAAGGAGACUUAAAGGGAAGUAUGUUUAUACCCUGAAAGGAAUAAAAAGAAAAUAUUUCGGGCUUCCCUGGUGGCUCAGUGGUUGAGAGUCCGCCUGCCGAUGCA